This 1168-nucleotide ribosomal RNA is filed under the name Cantharellus alborufescens. RNAcentral describes it as "LSU rRNA". It matches the Rfam family "Eukaryotic large subunit ribosomal RNA", at positions 73 to 1260 of the family's 3401-position model. Lineage: Eukaryota; Fungi; Basidiomycota; Agaricomycetes; Cantharellales; Hydnaceae. The record is from RNAcentral.
GAUUCCCCCAGUAACUGCGAGUGAAGAGGGAAGAGCUCAUCAUUGGAAUCUGGCGGUGUUGCACCGUCCGAGUUGUAGAUGAGGAGUGGUUCAUCUGGACUGCAUGGCGUCCAAGUACAAUAGGCCGUCAGUGGGACAUCAUAGAGGGUGACAAUCCCGUCCUUGAUGCCAAUGUGCAAGUCCAUUACGAUGGCUAUCUCAGAGAGUCGAGCAGUUUGGGAUUUGCUGCUUAAACAUGGGAGGUAGAUUCCUUCUAAAGCUAAAUACAGGCGAGAGACCGAUAGAGAACAAGUACCGCAAGGGAAAGAUGAAAUAGCACUCUGUGAAGGGAGUCAAAAGGCGUGAAAUUGUUGCGAGAGAAGCGAUUCAAGUCAGCGUAGCUAGGCCCAUUAAGCCUCUUUGCGCUUUGGACUAGCUUUGCCAGCGGUCUUGUCCUUAGAGACUUGACUUGUAUGUCCAGCCUGGUAUGCACAGGUAGCCCUCCGGGGUCAGUGACAUGGCUGGUGGAAUGGCUUGCAAUCGACCCGUCUUGAAACACGGACCAAGGAGUCUAACAUGUAUGCGAGUAUAAGGGUGGCAAACCCGUAUGCGCAAUGAAAGUGAUUUUCGGUGAUUGAGAAUGGCCUGACGACCCAGACAAGCAAUAUAUGUCCCUCGGACGGCCAUUGCCCAAGUUCCGUGGUAGAUCCCACGAACAUGGAGUUGGAGCAUACAUGCUAGGACCCGAAAGAUGGUGAACUAUGCCUGGACAAAGCGAAGCCAAAGGAAACUCUGGUGGAGGCUUGUAGCGAUUCUGACGUGCAAAUCGAUCGUCUGAUCUGGGUAUAGGGGCGAAAGACUAAUCGAACCAUCUCAUAGCUGGUUCCUGCCGAAGUUUCCCUCAGGAUAGCAGAGACCUAGUGGAAGUUGCAUGUGGUAAAGCGAAUGAUUAUUGAUCCUGGGGCUCAAAUGGGCCUCAGUCUAUUCUCAAACUGUGAAUGCGUGCGGUUGGACUGUGCUUAGCAAUAGAAGCCCUGCCAGCAAUGCUUCAGUCUCUAGUGGGCCGUUUCUGGUAAGCAGAACUGGCGAUGCGGGAUGAACCGAAAGUGAGGUUAAAGUGCCAGAAUGCACACUAACCAGAGAUAAAAGGUGUAUGUGCAUGGACACAGCAGGGCAGUGGCCAUGGAGG